UUGACGGGGGCCCGCACAAGCGGUGGAUUAUGUGGAUUAAUUCGAUGCAACGCGAAAACCUUACCUACCCUUGACAUGCUAGGAACUUGCCAGAGAUGGCUUGGUGCCCGAAAGGGAACCUAGACACAGGUGCUGCAUGGCUGUCGUCAGCUCGUGUCGUGAGAUGUUGGGUUAAGUCCCGCAACGAGCGCAACCCUUGUCAUUAAUUGCCAUCAUUCAGUUGGGCACUUUAAUGAGACUGCCGGUGACAAACCGGAGGAAGGUGGGGAUGACGUCAAGUCCUCAUGGCCCUUAUGGGUAGGGCUUCACACGUAAUACAAUGGUCGGUACAGAGGGUUGCCAACCCGCGAGGGGGAGCCAAUCCCAGAAAACCGAUCGUAGUCCGGAUUGCAGUCUGCAACUCGACUGCAUGAAGUCGGAAUCGCUAGUAAUCGCGGAUCAGCAUGUCGCGGUGAAUACGUUCCCGGGCCUU
Molecule: ribosomal RNA, 472 nt
Filed under: uncultured Methylophilaceae bacterium
Lineage: Bacteria; Pseudomonadati; Pseudomonadota; Betaproteobacteria; Nitrosomonadales; Methylophilaceae
Description: bacterial SSU rRNA
Rfam family: Bacterial small subunit ribosomal RNA
Source: RNAcentral